CCCCCAAAUCCCGUGGGCCUCUGCGGGAUGGUAUUUAAAUGGCUUGCGUGGGCUUCUUCGGCCUCAUUUUUCUCCUGUCCGAAGCAGGACCUGGGCGCGUUUGAGCAAACGGAGGGAGCGCCGUUACUGAGCAUGUUGCUCGGAUCGGGGACCUGCCGGGUCGACGAUGGAGGCUGCCCCUUCACCCUCUGCAGCGCUGGCCGUACCGCGAGGCUCCAGCGUCACAUAACCAGCCCUGGGGAGUUUGGACGCGUCCCAAGGUGAACAAAGGUUCUCGUGCUGACGGAUUCUUCUGUCUGCUGCCUCCUCCUGUUCCUAUGCUCCACUGAGAAAUCUUCAGAGUGAAGAGGUGCUGUCACCAUUGGCCUGCUUGUUGGUUCAAAGGUCCAGCACCUUGGAAGCCCAGAGUGAUUCCAGGGAAACGAAGGUGAAUUCCAGGCUGAAGCUCCUGGUCUGAAGAAAGAAGAGGUGCAUGUAAUGGACUGAAGUAUUGCAGGAUGUCAGAAAUCUACAAAUCCCUAAGACAAUCAUGUCAGCCUUCCUAAUAAAGCUGCUUUCCUUCUUGA
Molecule: non-coding RNA, 566 nt
Organism: Oryctolagus cuniculus (rabbit)
Lineage: Eukaryota; Metazoa; Chordata; Mammalia; Lagomorpha; Leporidae
Source: RefSeq, a predicted model, not a curated record